AUUCGCGGCCUAUCAGCUUGUUGGUGAGGUAACGGCUCACCAAGGCAACGACGGGUAGCUGGUCUGAGAGGACGAUCAGCCACACUGGGACUGAGACACGGCCCAGACUCCUACGGGAGGCAGCAGCAGGGAAUCUUGCGCAAUGGACGAAAGUCUGACGCAGCGAUGCCGCGUGGGGGAUGACGGCCUUCGGGUUGUAAACCCCUUUCAGGAGGGACGAAAUUGACGGUACCUCCAGAAGAAGCCCCGGCCAACUACGUGCCAGCAGCCGCGGUAAUACGUAGGGGGCGAGCGUUGUCCGGAAUUAUUGGGCGUAAAGAGCUCGUAGGCGGCUUGGUAAGUCGGCCGUGAAAACCAAAGGCUCAACCUUUGGAUGUCGGUCGAGACUGCCAUGGCUAGAGUCCGGUAGAGGAGAGUGGAAUUCCCGGUGUAGCGGUGAAAUGCGCAGAUAUCGGGAGGAACACCAGUAGCGAAGGCGGCUCUCUGGGCCGGAACUGACGCUGAGGAGCGAAAGCGUGGGUAGCAAACAGGAUUAGAUACCCUGGUAGUCCACGCCGUAAACGUUGGGUACUAGGUGUGGCGUCUUAUCAACGGAUGCCGUGCCGAAGCUAACGCAUUAAGUACCCCGCCUGGGGAGUACGGAAU
RNAcentral lists this ribosomal RNA (645 nucleotides) under uncultured bacterium. RNAcentral describes it as "bacterial SSU rRNA". It matches the Rfam family "Bacterial small subunit ribosomal RNA", at positions 229 to 888 of the family's 1533-position model. The record is from RNAcentral.